CAGCCGCCGCGGGAAUACGUAGGGUGCAAGCGUUAAUCGGAAUUACUGGGCGUAAAGCGUGCGCAGGCGGUUAGAUAAGCCAGAUGUGAAAUCCCCGAGCUCAACUUGGGAACUGCGUUUGGAACUGUUUAACUAGAGUGCGUCAGAGGGGGGUGGAAUUCCGCGUGUAGCAGUGAAAUGCGUAGAGAUGCGGAGGAACACCGAUGGCGAAGGCAGCCCCCUGGGAUGACACUGACGCUCAUGCACGAAAGCGUGGGGAGCAAACAGGAUUAGAUACCCCUGUAGUCCCUGUCUCUUAUAA
Molecule: ribosomal RNA, 301 nt
Filed under: uncultured bacterium
Lineage: Bacteria
Description: partial 16S ribosomal RNA
Rfam family: Bacterial small subunit ribosomal RNA
Source: RNAcentral